UACGUAGGGGGCGAGCGUUGUCCGGAAUCAUUGGGCGUAAAGAGCGUGUAGGCGGCUUGGCAAGUCUGACGUGAAAGCCCGCGGCUCAACCGCGGAUUGUCGGUGGAAACUGCCUCGCUAGAGUCCGGAAGAGGAGAGCGGAAUUCCUGGUGUAGCGGUGGAAUGCGCAGAUAUCAGGAAGAACACCCGUGGCGAAGGCAGCUCGCUGGGACGGUACUGACGCUGAGACGCGAAAGCGUGGGGAGCGAACAGG
This 253-nucleotide ribosomal RNA is filed under the name uncultured bacterium. RNAcentral's name for it is "partial 16S ribosomal RNA". It matches the Rfam family "Bacterial small subunit ribosomal RNA", at positions 524 to 776 of the family's 1533-position model. The record is from RNAcentral.